RNAcentral lists this transfer RNA (66 nucleotides) under Laemophloeidae sp. KM-2017. Its description in RNAcentral is "tRNA-Trp". The record is from RNAcentral. Lineage: Eukaryota; Metazoa; Arthropoda; Insecta; Coleoptera; Laemophloeidae.
AAGGAUUUAAGUUAAAGAUUAAACUAGCAGCCUUCAAAGCUGAAAAUAGACAAUUUCUAAGCCUUA